This 497-nucleotide ribosomal RNA is filed under the name uncultured bacterium. Its description in RNAcentral is "partial 16S ribosomal RNA". It matches the Rfam family "Bacterial small subunit ribosomal RNA", at positions 28 to 507 of the family's 1533-position model. The record is from RNAcentral.
GACGAACGCUGGCGGCGUGCCUAAUACAUGCAAGUUGAGCGCUGAAGGUUGGUACUUGUACCAACUGGAUGAGCAGCGAACGGGUGAGUAACGCGUGGGGAAUCUGCCUUUGAGCGGGGGACAACAUUUGGAAACGAAUGCUAAUACCGCAUAAAAACUUUAAACACAAGUUUUAAGUUUGAAAGAUGCAAUUGCAUCACUCAAAGAUGAUCCCGCGUUGUAUUAGCUAGUUGGUGAGGUAAAGGCUCACCAAGGCGAUGAUACAUAGCCGACCUGAGAGGGUGAUCGGCCACAUUGGGACGGAGACACGGCCCAAACUCCUACGGGAGGCAGCAGUAGGGAAUCGUCGGCAAUGGACGAAAGUCUGACCGAGCAACGCCGCGUGAGUGAAGAAGGUUGUCGGAUCGGAAAACUCUGUUGGUAGAGAAGAACGUUGGUGAGAGUGGAAAGCUCAUCAAGUGACGGUAACUACCCAGAAAGGGACGGCUAACUACGUG